AUUUGUAUAAUUUAAUAAAAAUAUUAUAUUUUCAAUAUAAAAAUAAGAAGUUAUUCUUUACAAAUA
RNAcentral lists this transfer RNA (66 nucleotides) under Franklinothrips vespiformis. RNAcentral's name for it is "tRNA-Glu". Lineage: Eukaryota; Metazoa; Arthropoda; Insecta; Thysanoptera; Aeolothripidae. The record is from RNAcentral.